Molecule: ribosomal RNA, 320 nt
Filed under: uncultured Prevotella sp.
Lineage: Bacteria; Pseudomonadati; Bacteroidota; Bacteroidia; Bacteroidales; Prevotellaceae
Description: partial 16S ribosomal RNA
Source: RNAcentral
GGAGUUUGGGCCGUGUCUCAGUCCCAAUGUGGCCGUCCGCCCUCUCAGGCCGGCUACAGAUCGUUGCUUUGGUAGGCCGUUACCCCGCCAACAAGCUAAUCAGACGCGUCCCCAUCCCUUAGCGGUGAACCUUUGCUUUCCAUCAGAUGCCAUCCAGAAAGAACAUAGAGUAUUAAUCCGACUUUCGCCGGGCUAUCCUCUACUAAGGGGAAGGUUGGAUACGCGUUACUCACCCGUGCGCCGGUCGCCAUCAACAAAAGCAAGCUUUCGUCAUGAUGCCCCUCGACUUGCAUGUGUUAAGCCUGUAGCUAGCGUUCAUC